This 323-nucleotide long non-coding RNA is filed under the name Androctonus crassicauda. The record is from RNAcentral. Lineage: Eukaryota; Metazoa; Arthropoda; Arachnida; Scorpiones; Buthidae.
UUGUUCUUCAGCGUUUCCUAUUCACACAUAUCUUCCUACCCUUCUGUUAAUUGUAAUGGGUGUAAAGGAUCCAGUCUCUUGGAGGUUGCGAUGUAUUCUUGUAAAAGUGGCCUGUGAUGGACCUCUUCGUUGUGGAAAUGUUUCCCGAAAAAGACGUACAGCUUCUCUGCUAUUUCCAUUCGCUCAUCCAUGGGGGGGAAAAACUUGAUUUAAAUCUGGUAGAAAACAAUAUUUUUUGCCUGAAUUUGCAUAGAGAACGUACCAAAAGCAGACGACCAUUCGUAUUAAAAGCAGAUGAUAUUUUUGCUGUAAAUUAUUAUUUU